AGCAGCCGCGGUAAUUCCAGCUCCAAUAGCGUAUAUUAAAGUUGUUGCAGUUAAAAGCUCGUAGUUGAAUUUCGGGGUUAGUAGGUUGGUCAUGCCUCUGGUAUGUACUGGUCUCACUGAUUCCUCCUUCCUGAUGAGCCGUGAUGCCAUUAAUUUGGUGUUGCGGGGAAUUUGGACUGUUACUUUGAAAAAUUAGAGUGUUUAAAGCAAGCUAACGCUUGAAUACAUUAGCAUGGAAUAAUGAAAUAGGACGUUCGAUCCUAUUUUGUUGGUUUCUAGGAUUGACGUAAUGAUUAAUAGGGAUAGUUGGGGGCAUUAGUAUUCAAUUGUCAGAGGUGAAAUUCUUGGAUUUAUUGAAGACUAACUACUGCGAAAGCAUUUGCCAAGGAUGUUUUCAUUAAUCAAGAACGAAAGUUAGGGGAUCGAAGACGAUCAGAUACCGUCGUAGUCUUAACCAUAAACUAUGCCGACUAGGGAUCGGAUGAUGUUAAUUUUUAAUGACUCAUUCGCG
Molecule: ribosomal RNA, 511 nt
Filed under: uncultured Glomus
Lineage: Eukaryota; Fungi; Glomeromycota; Glomeromycetes; Glomerales; Glomeraceae
Description: SSU rRNA
Rfam family: Eukaryotic small subunit ribosomal RNA
Source: RNAcentral